GCGGCUUUCUUCUUCUUCUUGUUCGGCAACCCGUUACAAAUCCCUAAGAGGUUGGUUUAUAUUGACAGUUGCAGACGGAGGUUGGUUUAAAUGAAUAAAUUAUUGGUUGUAACUCAACAAAUUCCAAGGGAAGAUGGGUAGUAUUUGUUGUAGUAGCAUGUUUGAAAGUUAGAUAAAAGUUGUGCUUCAUCUUAAAAUGAUGUACGCCACGGCAAUGUCGGUUUAAGUAGCAAAAUCUGCACAAAUAUAGAGUUUGAAUAAACAACACAAUAAAAACAAAAAUUGUUGUGAUUAUUGGUUAUUAACAUAUUUUAUAGUGGUUAUGGAAGAGAGAAAAAUAGAAGAACUAAAAGGGGAGAGAUGGGAAAUACCUGAAAGUUGGAAUAAAUUAUUGGCUGUAAUGAAACAAAUU
RNAcentral lists this long non-coding RNA (412 nucleotides) under Lupinus angustifolius (narrow-leaved blue lupine). RNAcentral describes it as "long non-coding RNA (LANG_LNC000819)". The record is from RNAcentral. Lineage: Eukaryota; Viridiplantae; Streptophyta; Magnoliopsida; Fabales; Fabaceae.